This 467-nucleotide ribosomal RNA is filed under the name uncultured bacterium. RNAcentral's name for it is "partial 16S ribosomal RNA". It matches the Rfam family "Bacterial small subunit ribosomal RNA", at positions 28 to 506 of the family's 1533-position model. The record is from RNAcentral.
GACGAACGCUGGCGGCGUGCUUAACACAUGCAAGUCGAACGGAAAGGCCCUGCUUUUGUGGGGUGCUCGAGUGGCGAACGGGUGAGUAACACGUGAGUAACCUGCCCUUGACUUUGGGAUAACUUCAGGAAACUGGGGCUAAUACCGGAUAGGAGCUCCUGCUGCAUGGUGGGGGUUGGAAAGUUUCGGCGGUUGGGGAUGGACUCGCGGCUUAUCAGCUUGUUGGUGGGGUAGUGGCUUACCAAGGCUUUGACGGCUAGCCGGCCUGAGAGGGUGACCGGCCACAGUGGGACUGGGAUACGGCCCAGACUCCUACGUGAGGCAGCAGUGGGGAAUAUUGCGCAAUGGGCGGAGGCCGGAUGCAGCAACGCCGCGUGCGGGAUGACGGCCUUCGGGUUGGAAACCGCUUUCGCCUGUGACGAAGCGUGAGUGACGGUAAUGGGUAAAGAAGCACCGGCUAACUACGU